UCUCGGUGAUGAUUAAAAAUGAUGACGAGUCCGAUCUUUCCAUUCUUUCAAAUCGUGACGACAAAUCGAGGCAUUUGUCUGAGAGAA
Non-coding RNA from Corchorus olitorius, 87 nucleotides. NCBI's taxonomy places the organism in Eukaryota, Viridiplantae, Streptophyta, Magnoliopsida, Malvales, Malvaceae. The record is from Rfam.